Molecule: ribosomal RNA, 253 nt
Filed under: uncultured bacterium
Lineage: Bacteria
Description: partial 16S ribosomal RNA
Rfam family: Bacterial small subunit ribosomal RNA
Source: RNAcentral
UACGUAGGUGGCUAGCGUUGUCCGGAUUUACUGGGCGUAAAGAGCGCGCAGGCGGUCGUUCAAGUCGAGUGUGAAAGCCCCCGGCUCAACUGGGGAGGGUCACUCGAUACUGAUCGACUCGAAGGCAGGAGAGGGAAGCGGAAUUCCCGGUGUAGUGGUGAAAUGCGUAGAGAUCCGGAAGAACACCGGUGGCGAAGGCGGCCUGCUGGGCAGUGGCUGACACUGAGGCGCGACAGCGUGGGGAGCAAACAGG